Molecule: ribosomal RNA, 1120 nt
Filed under: uncultured organism
Description: bacterial SSU rRNA
Rfam family: Bacterial small subunit ribosomal RNA
Source: RNAcentral
GUCUCAUUAGCUAGUUGGUAGGGUAAUGGCCUACCAAGGCGACGAUGGGUAGCCGGCCUGAGAGGGUGAGCGGCCACACUGGGACUGAGAUACGGCCCAGACUCCUACGGGAGGCAGCAGUGAGGAAUAUUGCGCAAUGGCCGAAAGGUUGACGCAGCGACGCCGCGUGAGGGAUGAAGCUUUUAGGAGUGUAAACCUCUGUUAGGAGGGAAGAAUAAUGGCAAUUCGAACAGGGUUGUCAGAUGACGGUACCUCCAGAGGAAGCCCCGGCUAACUCCGUGCCAGCAGCCGCGGUAAUACGGGGGGGGCUAGCGUUGUCCGGAAUUACUGGGCGUAAAGGGCGCGUAGGCGGGAUAGCAAGUCAGUGGUGCAAACUUGAGGCUUAACUUCAAGCUUGCCAUUGAUACUGUUAUUCUUGAGUUCGGCAGAGGGAAGUGGAAUUCCUGGUGUAGCGGUGAAAUGCGUAGAUAUCAGGAAGAACACCGGUGGCGAAGGCGGCUUCCUGGUCCGAUACUGACGCUGAGGCGCGAAAGCGUGGGGAGCGAACAGGAUUAGAUACCCUGGUAGUCCACGCUGUAAACGAUGGGUACUAGGUGUUGGUUGUAAUGAUCAGCGCCGGAGCAAACGCAUUAAGUACCCCGCCUGGGGAAUACGGUCGCAAGACUGAAACUCAAAGGAAUUGACGGGGGCCCGCACAAGCGGUGGAGCAUGUGGUUUAAUUCGAUGCAACGCGAAGAACCUUACCUGGGCUUGAACUGCAGGUGCUAUCUCCUGAAAGGGAGUUUCCUUCGGGACGCCUGUAGAGGUGCUGCAUGGCUGUCGUCAGCUCGUGCUGUGAGGUGUUGGGUUAAGUCCCGCAACGAGCGCAACCCCUGUCCCUAGUUGCCAUCAGGUCAAGCUGGGAACUCUAGGGGGACUGCCCCGGAUAACGGGGAGGAAGGUGGGGAUGACGUCAAGUCAUCAUGGCCCUUACGUCCAGGGCUACACACGUGCUACAAUGGCCGGUACAACGGGUAGCGAGACAGUGAUGUGGAGCAAAUCCCUUAAAACCGGUCUCAGUUCAGAUUGCAGUCUGCAACCCGACUGCAUGAAGUUGGAAUCGCUAGUAAUCGCGGAUCAG